UACGUAGGGUGCGAGCGUUGUCCGGAUUUAUUGGGCGUAAAGAGCUCGUAGGCGGUCUGUCGCGUCGGCUGUGAAAACCCGGAGCUCAACUCCGGGCCUGCAGUCGAUACGGGCAGACUGGAGUUCGGCAGGGGAGACUGGAAUUCCUGGUGUAGCGGUGAAAUGCGCAGAUAUCAGGAGGAACACCGGUGGCGAAGGCGGGUCUCUGGGCCGAUACUGACGCUGAGGAGCGAAAGCGUGGGGAGCGAACAGG
This 253-nucleotide ribosomal RNA is filed under the name uncultured bacterium. Its description in RNAcentral is "partial 16S ribosomal RNA". It matches the Rfam family "Bacterial small subunit ribosomal RNA", at positions 524 to 776 of the family's 1533-position model. The record is from RNAcentral.